UCCUUGGAGAAGUGGCGGGCGGCCGCGAUU
Molecule: small RNA, 30 nt
Filed under: Bombyx mori (domestic silkworm)
Lineage: Eukaryota; Metazoa; Arthropoda; Insecta; Lepidoptera; Bombycidae
Description: ovarian small RNA-28069
Source: RNAcentral